Molecule: ribosomal RNA, 331 nt
Filed under: uncultured eukaryote
Lineage: Eukaryota
Description: partial 18S ribosomal RNA
Rfam family: Eukaryotic small subunit ribosomal RNA
Source: RNAcentral
CCCUUAGAUGUUCUGGGCCGCACGCGCGCUACACUGUUCGACGCAGCGAGUCUUAACCUUGACCGAAAGGUUUGGGUAAUCUUCAGCAAAGUCGAACGUGAUGGGGAUCGAUUAUUGCAAUUAUUGAUCGUGAACGAGGAAUUCCUAGUAAGUGCAAGUCAUCAGCUUGCGCUGAUUACGUCCCUGCCCUUUGUACACACCGCCCGUCGCUACUACCGAUUGAAUGGUUUAGUGAGAUCUCUGGAUUGACGCUGGCUAGGGGGCGACCCUUGGCCAGACUGUUGAGAAACUGCUCAAACUUGAUCAUUUAGAGGAAGUAAAAGUCGUAACA